CAAAGAACAUCUGACUGUACAUGAAUCAUUACAUAUCAGAUCAGGCAUUAGAAUUAACAGUUACUUACAUGUUGUUGCAUUACUGUUGAGUCCAUAUCAUAAAAGUCUGUUUGCAAAGCCUGCUUCGAAAUGCAAUUGAUUUACCAAAGAAUACACAGUGAAAUGUACCGAAUACAAAUAAAUAAUGCUCAACUGAGACAUUCACAUGGUUGUAAAAUAAAUAACCAUAUUCCUAGCAUAAGGAUCCUUUGAAAGGUAAUGUUAUUUUUAGUCCUGUAUCGCUCUUCUCUCCUCGUCAUCUCACAAACAUGCCAGUGGGCAGGGCUAAUGUUGCAAUGAUGAAGUAGGCGUUGAUUUCUUCUGCGGAGGCGGCGUUUCACCUAUAGGCGCAUUCCAGGAUCAGUUGUUCACUGGGCCUGGUGUCAAUAAAAGGUUUUAUUGGACUAACAAGGAAGUUUUCAGUUCUGAAACUUACAAGAUAUUCUUAUAGUACGAUGACCUCUUAUAUAUCAAAAGCUCAAGAAAAAGUUGAUUUCUCAAUUCAUGACCCCUUUAAGGAAUGACCACAGAGAGAUAAAUAAAAGAAAUCAUGAAUUAAAGGUCUUGUUCUUUCAAAUGCCAUAUGCCACUGCUAUUUUUCAAAUAAAAGAAGGUACACAAAUAUAUGGGAGAAAAAAACUUGUGUUUUUAUAUUAUUUGUGUGGAUAACAGCUGUCAGGUUGGCGAAUGGCAGCGACUCCUGUUCUGGACGAGUGGAGGUUCUCUAUAAUGGAAUAUGGGGAACAGUGUGUGAUGAUAGCUGGGAUCUGACAGAUGCUGCAGUGGUGUGUAGAGAGAUGGGCUGUGGGAAUGCUACAGAGGCUAAAAAAGGUGCUUUUUUUGGGAUCGGCUCAGGACCAAUAUGGAUGAAUGAUGUAAAUUGUUAUGGGAAUGAGCUUACUCUAAAGAUAUGUAGAUCACCUGGACAGGACGUACAGAACUAUAGUCAUAAAAAUGCUGGUGUCAUCUGCCAAUAUGGCAAUUUGUCUUCAACAACUGCAAUAACAAACUCAACAACAGAAGAGAAGUCUACAGCUGCUGUCACCAGUUCUCUAAGAAACAACUCUUAUCACUUUACCUAUAUCAGCGAUUCAAAAAGCUGGAUUGACGCACUGGGAUACUGCAAAACUCACCACCAGACUUUGGUGCACAUUUUAAAUGCCACGGCACAACAGUACAUCACACAGAUGCUGAAGGGUAAAGAAAUCCCCAAUGGAGUGUGGAUCGGGCUUGAACGGAGUAUGCUCUUCACUUGUUCGCCCUGGCUGUGGACCGGUGGGCCGUAUGUGGACUAUGCACCAUGGCAUCAAACGUAUCCAGUGGACAGAGGGAGCAGGUUUUGUGGAAAACUUCUUAAGGACAAAGAGAACGUGUUUGGAUGGGUGGAUGCUUGCUGCCAUGAGCACCUUCCUUUCUUUUGUCAGGGAUGAAACACUAGGCGGAGCUGUUUCCUAGUUUGGAGUCGGUUGGUGAUGAUCACAGAAAGUCAUGAUGUUUUGAUAAACAAUUUUUGUUUUGUUUCUAAACAAUUUACAGUAAUAUGCAGCCCUGUGGUGUGGACUUGCAUUUGCAUUACAAAAUUAUCAAUUUCUCUGUUUGUAUUAGCUCUUAAAUCUUUAAUAAUGCAUGUAAUGAUUUUAAAACCAGCCUUUCUGCAUAGCUGAUGGAAAGCUGCCUAUAUGCUAAAUAUAUUUUAGAUUCCAUGUGAAAAUGUGAAUCUUCUUUCUUUGUUUUGUCAUAGUUUAUACUGAGAUGAUCUAUAUGACUAAUGAACUUUAUUAAAGUAAAUGUUAUGUGUGCCUAUGGUUUGAGGUUUAGUUGAGAUUCUUAUUUAUUUUCCUUAAUUUACCAUUUAAAUGUUUUUAAUUGCAGUCAGAUUUUAGUGUCAUGCAUAAUUCAUAACUAGUAAUUAAUUUAAAUAAUGUUUUUGAAAUGUUUCUCUAAAGAUUUUUGAUUACUAUCAA
Long non-coding RNA from Ctenopharyngodon idella (grass carp), 2003 nucleotides. RefSeq lists it as uncharacterized. The transcript is spliced from 4 exons. NCBI's taxonomy places the organism in Eukaryota, Metazoa, Chordata, Actinopteri, Cypriniformes, Xenocyprididae. The record is from RefSeq and is a predicted model, not a curated record.